This 518-nucleotide unclassified non-coding RNA is filed under the name uncultured Entrophospora. Its description in RNAcentral is "SSU rRNA". It matches the Rfam family "Eukaryotic small subunit ribosomal RNA", at positions 569 to 1078 of the family's 1831-position model. The record is from RNAcentral. Lineage: Eukaryota; Fungi; Glomeromycota; Glomeromycetes; Entrophosporales; Entrophosporaceae.
AGCAGCCGCGGUAAUUCCAGCUCCAAUAGCGUAUAUUAAAGUUGUUGCAGUUAAAAAGCUCGUAGUUGAAUUUCGGGAUUGACGUGAUGGUCGUGCCUUACGGGGUAUGAACUGUUGCUGUUGAUUUCUCACCUUCUGGAGAAACUUGAUGUCCUUAAUUGGGUGUCUUGCGGAUCCAGGACCUUUACCUUGAAAAAAUUAGAGUGUUUAAAGCAGGCAUUUUUGCUCGAAUACAUUAGCAUGGAAUAAUAGAAUAGGACGGCAUGGUUCUAUUUUGUUGGUUUCUAGGAUCACCGUAAUGAUUAAUAGGGAUAGUUGGGGGGCAUUAGUAUUCAAUUGUCAGAGGUGAAAUUCUUGGAUUUAUUGAAGACUAACUACUGCGAAAGCAUUUGCCAAGGAUGUUUUCAUUAAUCAAAGAACGAAAGUUAGGGGAUCGAAGACGAUCAGAUACCGUCGUAGUCUUAACCAUAAACUAUGCCGACUAGGAAUCAGACGAUGUUAAUUUUUUUAAUGACUCG